AAGGUGGAGUCGCUAGUAAUCGCAGAUCAGCAACGCUGCGGUGAAUACGUUCUCGGGCCUUGUACACACCGCCCGUCACGUCACGAAAGUUGGUAACACUCGAAGCUUGUGGCCUAACUCUUUUUGAGGGGGAGCGGGUGAAGGUGGGGCUAGCGAUUGGGACGAAGUCGUAACAAGGUAGCCGUACCGGAAGGUGCGGCUGGAUCACCUCCUUU
This 215-nucleotide ribosomal RNA is filed under the name Clostridium sp. Its description in RNAcentral is "partial 16S ribosomal RNA". It matches the Rfam family "Bacterial small subunit ribosomal RNA", at positions 1323 to 1533 of the family's 1533-position model. The record is from RNAcentral. Lineage: Bacteria; Bacillati; Bacillota; Clostridia; Eubacteriales; Clostridiaceae. RNAcentral also lists the same sequence under 1 other name.